Molecule: non-coding RNA, 1037 nt
Organism: Ciona intestinalis (vase tunicate)
Lineage: Eukaryota; Metazoa; Chordata; Ascidiacea; Phlebobranchia; Cionidae
Source: RefSeq, a predicted model, not a curated record
UGCUGAUAUACAUUUGCUAUCAAAAUGCAAUUACCUUGUGUGUACGUUUUCCUCACAGGUUUGUCGCGUUGCUUACGAACUAAUGCAAACCUUACAUCCUGAUGCUUCAAACUACUUCCAUUCGCUUGAUGAUGUUUAUUACUGCGGUGGGCAAACCGCUCAUGAACAAACAGCUGUGUUAGAUCAUGCCCCGAAACCUGGGAGCCAGGAGAUUGAACUGAGGAUUGGAGACGUAGUCGUACUGUCGGGCAACCACUGGGAUGGCUAUUCUAAAGGAACGAACAGACGUACUAAAAAAACAGGACUGUAUCCGUCAUACAAAGUCAAUGAGAAGAUCCCAUUGCUCAAAUACCUUACUUAUCCAGAGGCAGAUAGUUACAAGGGCGAAGGAAAUACAUAAGAAGCGAUAAGGAGCUUGUUUUGGUUAAGCCGAUUAAGUCCAGCGGUUCGUUAUCGGUGUAGAGGUAGCCAUCAUGUUAGUAGCUCAUAGUAGACGACCAAAGAGCUUCAAUUAAAGCCACCUUUUUUAGACUAAGGUGUAAUCCACUCUUGGUAAAUCACCAAGGCGAUUGGAAGCUUGUUUAAAAGGAUAAGACUAGUAGGUUAGCUGACUGCUUGCUGAUUGAACUGCACUUGCGCCUUUGCCGUUGGAUCGUGUUAUGUUUGCUUCUUAAAUACUGUGCAAAAGUUGAACAAAGCUAAAGCUAAAAAAUGUUGUCUCGUCCCAUGGAGGACCAAACUUGUUUUAUUAUAAACGAUUUUAUUUUUUUAGUAUGAAAUAUCUAUUUCUAUAUUUUAUUUUAAAUUAUUUUAAGGCCCCAUUUCCAAGUUGAAAACUCCUACUUAAUUUUACAAUUUUUUUGCAGCCUAAACCUGAGAAAUGAGCCAACUCUUAACUAUAUCUUAAGUCCUAUGGCAUUCCACCCUGCAGAGUAGAAUAACACAGCUUGAACAGAUUUUUUACAUUUAUUGUUGUGUUUAUUUUUUUAACUGUUGUACAUUGUAAAUAAUAAGAAUACAGUGCAAUGAGUAUUUUA